GACGAACGCUGGCGGCGUGCUUAACACAUGCAAGUCGAGCGGUAAGGCCCUUUCGGGGUACGACGAGCGGCGAACGGGUGAGUAACACGUGGGUGACCUGCCCUCCAGCUCUGGGAGUAAGCCUGGGAAACCGGGUACUAAUACUGGAUAUGACUCCAUGACGCAUGUUGUGGGGUGGAAAGCCUUGUGCGGCUGAGGAUGGGCCCGGCGGCCUAUCAGCUUGUUGGUGGGGUGGAUGGCCUACCAAGGCGACGACGGGUAGCCGGCCUGAGAGGG
This 276-nucleotide ribosomal RNA is filed under the name uncultured bacterium. Its description in RNAcentral is "partial 16S ribosomal RNA". It matches the Rfam family "Bacterial small subunit ribosomal RNA", at positions 28 to 300 of the family's 1533-position model. The record is from RNAcentral.